GUGGUAUUUAUCUGGAAAAAAAGAGAGAAAAAUUAAGAAAAUUUAUAUUUGUAAAGUUUAAUAUGUGUGUUUUUGACCGGCAAAAAUAACAAAAAUAUUACGAAAAGUGCGAGCCAUAUUAUCGGAUAUGUGGAAACAUAUAACUCCGGUAUAACAUGGACUUUCCACCUUUGCCUCAUUUGCCUUUAGACGGCAGACGCAUUGAUUGAUAUUCUUGCAAAGACGCUUUGUCAAUAGAUCUGAUCUCGUUUAGGAUAAAUGAAGCUUUCAAGAUGGAUGUAGGGACAUAAAGAACGACUUCAAGUGUUUGAAACGAAUAAUAUUAUCGAUGUGUUACCAAUGUUAUAACAUAAUUAACACACCCCUUAAAUUUCGU
Molecule: long non-coding RNA, 376 nt
Organism: Lucilia cuprina (Australian sheep blowfly)
Lineage: Eukaryota; Metazoa; Arthropoda; Insecta; Diptera; Calliphoridae
Exons: 3
Source: RefSeq, a predicted model, not a curated record